Molecule: non-coding RNA, 105 nt
Organism: Podarcis lilfordi (Lilford's wall lizard)
Lineage: Eukaryota; Metazoa; Chordata; Lepidosauria; Squamata; Lacertidae
Source: the annotation of a GenBank genome assembly
GCCUGUGAGGGAUUUCUGUGGCUCAGUGGUAGGCCAUAGGGUCAGCAGCAGAGCAUCUUCCUUAAAUGCAGACGGUCACAGGUUCAAUCCCUGAAUUUCCAGGUA